AGUGAACGCUGGCGGUAGGCCUAACACAUGCAAGUCGAACGGCAGCACAGUAAGAGCUUGCUCUUACGGGUGGCGAGUGGCGGACGGGUGAGGAAUACAUCGGAAUCUACUUUUUCGUGGGGGAUAACGUAGGGAAACUUAGGCUAAUACAGCAUACGACCUACGGGGGAAAGCAGGGGAUCUUCGGAGCUUGCGGGAUUGAAUGAGCCGAUGCGGGAUUAGAUAGUUGGCGGGGUAACGACCCACCAAGGCGACGAUCCGUAGCUGGUCUGGGAGGAUGAUCAGCAACACUGGAACUGAGACACGGUCCAGACUCCAACGGGAAGCAGCAGUCGGGAAUGUUGGACAAUGGGCGCAAUCCUUAUCCAGCCAUACCGCGUGGGUGAAGAAGGCUUUCGGGUUGUAAAGCCCUUUUGUUGUGAAAGAAAAGCAGCAGAGUAAUACCCCGCUGUUCUGACGGUACCCAAAGAAUAAGCACCGGCUAACUUCGUG
Molecule: ribosomal RNA, 492 nt
Filed under: uncultured bacterium
Lineage: Bacteria
Description: partial 16S ribosomal RNA
Rfam family: Bacterial small subunit ribosomal RNA
Source: RNAcentral